RNAcentral lists this ribosomal RNA (2369 nucleotides) under Escherichia coli. Its description in RNAcentral is "partial 23S ribosomal RNA". It matches the Rfam family "Bacterial large subunit ribosomal RNA", at positions 588 to 2925 of the family's 2925-position model. Lineage: Bacteria; Pseudomonadati; Pseudomonadota; Gammaproteobacteria; Enterobacterales; Enterobacteriaceae. The record is from RNAcentral.
GGCGUGUGACUGCGUACCUUUUGUAUAAUGGGUCAGCGACUUAUAUUCUGUAGCAAGGUUAACCGAAUAGGGGAGCCGAAGGGAAACCGAGUCUUAACUGGGCGUUAAGUUGCAGGGUAUAGACCCGAAACCCGGUGAUCUAGCCAUGGGCAGGUUGAAGGUUGGGUAACACUAACUGGAGGACCGAACCGACUAAUGUUGAAAAAUUAGCGGAUGACUUGUGGCUGGGGGUGAAAGGCCAAUCAAACCGGGAGAUAGCUGGUUCUCCCCGAAAGCUAUUUAGGUAGCGCCUCGUGAAUUCAUCUCCGGGGGUAGAGCACUGUUUCGGCAAGGGGGUCAUCCCGACUUACCAACCCGAUGCAAACUGCGAAUACCGGAGAAUGUUAUCACGGGAGACACACGGCGGGUGCUAACGUCCGUCGUGAAGAGGGAAACAACCCAGACCGCCAGCUAAGGUCCCAAAGUCAUGGUUAAGUGGGAAACGAUGUGGGAAGGCCCAGACAGCCAGGAUGUUGGCUUAGAAGCAGCCAUCAUUUAAAGAAAGCGUAAUAGCUCACUGGUCGAGUCGGCCUGCGCGGAAGAUGUAACGGGGCUAAACCAUGCACCGAAGCUGCGGCAGCGACGCUGAUGCGUUGUUGGGUAGGGGAGCGUUCUGUAAGCCUGCGAAGGUGUGCUGUGAGGCAUGCUGGAGGUAUCAGAAGUGCGAAUGCUGACAUAAGUAACGAUAAAGCGGGUGAAAAGCCCGCUCGCCGGAAGACCAAGGGUUCCUGUCCAACGUUAAUCGGGGCAGGGUGAGUCGACCCCUAAGGCGAGGCCGAAAGGCGUAGUCGAUGGGAAACAGGUUAAUAUUCCUGUACUUGGUGUUACUGCGAAGGGGGGACGGAGAAGGCUAUGUUGGCCGGGCGACGGUUGUCCCGGUUUAAGCGUGUAGGCUGGUUUUCCAGGCAAAUCCGGAAAAUCAAGGCUGAGGCGUGAUGACGAGGCACUACGGUGCUGAAGCAACAAAUGCCCUGCUUCCAGGAAAAGCCUCUAAGCAUCAGGUAACAUCAAAUCGUACCCCAAACCGACACAGGUGGUCAGGUAGAGAAUACCAAGGCGCUUGAGAGAACUCGGGUGAAGGAACUAGGCAAAAUGGUGCCGUAACUUCGGGAGAAGGCACGCUGAUAUGUAGGUGAGGUCCCUCGCGGAUGGAGCUGAAAUCAGUCGAAGAUACCAGCUGGCUGCAACUGUUUAUUAAAAACACAGCACUGUGCAAACACGAAAGUGGACGUAUACGGUGUGACGCCUGCCCGGUGCCGGAAGGUUAAUUGAUGGGGUCAGCGCAAGCGAAGCUCUUGAUCGAAGCCCCGGUAAACGGCGGCCGUAACUAUAACGGUCCUAAGGUAGCGAAAUUCCUUGUCGGGUAAGUUCCGACCUGCACGAAUGGCGUAAUGAUGGCCAGGCUGUCUCCACCCGAGACUCAGUGAAAUUGAACUCGCUGUGAAGAUGCAGUGUACCCGCGGCAAGACGGAAAGACCCCGUGAACCUUUACUAUAGCUUGACACUGAACAUUGAGCCUUGAUGUGUAGGAUAGGUGGGAGGCUUUGAAGUGUGGACGCCAGUCUGCAUGGAGCCGACCUUGAAAUACCACCCUUUAAUGUUUGAUGUUCUAACGUUGACCCGUAAUCCGGGUUGCGGACAGUGUCUGGUGGGUAGUUUGACUGGGGCGGUCUCCUCCUAAAGAGUAACGGAGGAGCACGAAGGUUGGCUAAUCCUGGUCGGACAUCAGGAGGUUAGUGCAAUGGCAUAAGCCAGCUUGACUGCGAGCGUGACGGCGCGAGCAGGUGCGAAAGCAGGUCAUAGUGAUCCGGUGGUUCUGAAUGGAAGGGCCAUCGCUCAACGGAUAAAAGGUACUCCGGGGAUAACAGGCUGAUACCGCCCAAGAGUUCAUAUCGACGGCGGUGUUUGGCACCUCGAUGUCGGCUCAUCACAUCCUGGGGCUGAAGUAGGUCCCAAGGGUAUGGCUGUUCGCCAUUUAAAGUGGUACGCGAGCUGGGUUUAGAACGUCGUGAGACAGUUCGGUCCCUAUCUGCCGUGGGCGCUGGAGAACUGAGGGGGGCUGCUCCUAGUACGAGAGGACCGGAGUGGACGCAUCACUGGUGUUCGGGUUGUCAUGCCAAUGGCACUGCCCGGUAGCUAAAUGCGGAAGAGAUAAGUGCUGAAAGCAUCUAAGCACGAAACUUGCCCCGAGAUGAGUUCUCCCUGACCCUUUAAGGGUCCUGAAGGAACGUUGAAGACGACGACGUUGAUAGGCCGGGUGUGUAAGCGCAGCGAUGCGUUGAGCUAACCGGUACUAAUGAACCGUGAGGCUUAACCUUACAACGCCGAAG